AUCAACUUUCGAUGGUAGGAUAGAGGCCUACCAUGGUAGUAACGGGUAACGGGGUGUUAGGGCACGACACCGGAGAGGGAGCCUGAGAAACGGCUACCACAUCCAAGGAUGGCAGCAGGCGCGCAAAUUACCCAAUCCCGAUACGGGGAGGUAGUGACAAUAAAUAACAAUACGGGGUUCUUAUGGAUCUCGUAAUUGGAAUGAGUACAAUUUAAAUCUCUUAACGAGGAACAAUUGGAGGGCAAGUCUGGUGCCAGCAGCCGCGGUAAUUCCAGCUCCAAUAGCGUAUAUUAAAGUUGUUGCAGUUAAAAAGCUCGUAGUUGAAUUUCGGGAUCAAUUUAUCGGUCGUGCCAAUGGUAUGAACUGGUACAAUUGGUUUCUCCCUUCUGACGAAGCAUGAUGUCAUUAAUUUGGUGUCGUGGGGAAUCAGGACUGUUACUUUGAAAAAAUUAGAGUGUUUAAAGCAAGCAUUAGCUUGAAUACAUUAGCAUGGAAUAAUGAAAUAGGACGUUUGAUCCUAUUUCGUUGGUUUCUAGGAUCGACGUAAUGAUUAAUAGGGAUAGUUGGGGGCAUUAGUAUUCAAUUGUCAGAGGUGAAAUUCUUGGAUUUAUUGAAGACUAACUACUGCGAAAGCAUUUGCCAAGGAUGUUUUCAUUAAUCAAGAACGAAAGUUAGGGGAUCGAAGACGAUCAGAUACCGUCGUAGUCUUAACCAUAAACUAUGCCGACUAGGGAUCGGAUGAUGUUAAUUUUUUAAUGACUCAUUCGGCGCCUUACGGGAAACCAAAGUGUUUGGGUUC
Molecule: ribosomal RNA, 799 nt
Filed under: uncultured Glomus
Lineage: Eukaryota; Fungi; Glomeromycota; Glomeromycetes; Glomerales; Glomeraceae
Description: SSU rRNA
Rfam family: Eukaryotic small subunit ribosomal RNA
Source: RNAcentral